GCUGGGAUAGAUCAGUCGGCAGAGCAUGAAACUUUUAAUCUCAGGGUUGUGGGUUCCAGCCCCACAUUGGGCA
Non-coding RNA from Podarcis lilfordi (Lilford's wall lizard), 73 nucleotides. NCBI's taxonomy places the organism in Eukaryota, Metazoa, Chordata, Lepidosauria, Squamata, Lacertidae. The record is from the annotation of a GenBank genome assembly.